RNAcentral lists this long non-coding RNA (2860 nucleotides) under Gossypium raimondii (Peruvian cotton). RNAcentral describes it as "long non-coding RNA (GRAI_LNC010957)". Lineage: Eukaryota; Viridiplantae; Streptophyta; Magnoliopsida; Malvales; Malvaceae. The record is from RNAcentral.
ACACAAUAAGGAAAUAUUCACACCAUCCAUGCGUACAUUAAAUCUAAAGAGAGUUGCUCAAAUAAAGAUAUAUCACUUACUCUUCAAAAAUUUCAACCUGAACGAAUUCUAUAAGUUAACAACCCUCAACCACCAAAUCAAAUACGGGAAUUCGAAUCACAUAAAUUUGUUGAAUGUUGUUUUUUGCCAAUGAAAUUCUGUUGCCUUGGAAAAUGCCUAAUUUUCCACCUCCAAUUCAUUCUUAGCAACUCCAUAAUUGCCUCUGUCAAGCAUGAAUUUAGCUAAGUAAUACUUCUUUCUUCAGUCGAAUGCAAUGGUAGAUCUUAACAUGAUCAAGUUUCGAAGAAAUUUAAUUAAAAAUUUUAAAAAAAUUAAUUAAAAUUUUAAAAAUUAUUAUAGAUCUAAUGAGAACUUUUUUCUAAAAAAAAUGGGGUGUUUAAAUAAAUUUUUUUAAAUUACGAGGUUCAAUAAGAUUUUUUUUUUUAAGUUCGAAGCUUACUUACAUUUUUUAAAAGUUUCGAAAUUUUUAAUAAAAGUCGCUAAAAUUUUUCGAUAGUCGAAAAUUUCUAUAUAAAGAAAAAGAAGAAUCUUAUAUUUGGUACCUAUACUUUUAUAAAAGGUCUAAUAUGGUACUUAAAUUAUUCAUAUGUGUUUUAUUAUGGUAUUUAAAAUUUCAUAAGAUGUCCAAUGUAAUACCUCUAUUUUGAAAAUAUUCAAUGUGGUACUCAAAUUGUAUCAUAAUAAAACACAUAUUGAUAGUUUAGGUGCCGUAUUGGACAUAUUCAAAGUUGAGGUACCACAUUGGAUAUUUUAUGAAAGUACAUGUACCAUAAUAAAAACAUGUAUUGAUAGUUUAAUUAUCACAUUAGAUAUUUCAAAGUACAAGUACCACAUAGAACAUUUUAUGAAAGUAAAGGUACUAAAUGUGAUGUAUCCAUAAAGAAAAUCCUAGCUCCCAUUACUUCUGAUUGAAGGUUAACUAGAGUUGUCCGUGGGUCGAGUCGAGCCCUAACAAAAUUUCAGGCUCGAUUGAUAGGCUUAGGCCCGACCCAAAAAAUGGGCUAAAAUUUUUUGUCCAAUCCCGUCCUAGAUAAAAAUGUUAAAACCCGAACUCGGCCAGGUGCACCCGUAUUAAUUUUUUUAUUUUAUUUUUAUAUAAAAAAUUAAAAAUAUAAUACACCAAGUACACUAAAAAUAUUAAAAUAAAUAUUUCUCAAAUUAAAAAAAUCUUUAUACUUAAAUAACACUAAGAUAAGUGUAACUUAAUAAGCAAAUACCUCUAAAAUAAUAGCAAAAUUAACAAUAAAACAAGUGUUAUACAAUAUACAAACAUUAACAACAAAAUAGUAGCAACAUAAUAAUGAAAUGGUAGUAAAACAGCGACAAAAAGUGGGAAAAUAGCAGCAAAACAGCAGGAUUUUUUUAUUGUAAAUUUGGGCCGGGUCUAGGCCAAAAACUUACCCAAUGCCCAACCCAUUUUCUAAACGGAUCUUUAUUUUUGCCCAAAUCUUUUUUUAAACUUAUAUUUUUACCCAAACCCUCUCAUUUUUCGGGUGAGUGUUGGAUCCGGACAACUCUAAUGUUAACAUUUAUCUCCUUUGCACAAAACUUGGUCAACAAGAAUGGUACUUUUGGAGAAGCUAAGCUUUGGAUAUGGUUUUUUAAUCCAUAAACGGUAGCAAAUUAAGUAAGUUAUGCCUCUUUCCUUUUGAUCUAUUAUAAUAACAUAUUAUUUUUAAACUGUAAUGUUAAAAGAGUAAAUAAUAAUAAUUUUAUAUUCUAAGAAAAAAAUGAUGAUAUUAUUUUAUUGGUAAUUAAAACUUUUUUAUUUUAGGAUUACCUUUAUGAUGAAAUAGAAUUUUCGUAUCUUAAUUAUCCAACAUGCAUUAUUAUUUUAUGCAUUAAGUAAGGUUAUAACACCAAAAUCAUUAUUAUUGCGAUAAUUUAGAAGAGUUUAAGACAAAUUUUUUAAAUUCAAAAAGAUGAAAAUACAAUUUUUAUAUUAUAUUACUUAUAAUUUCACAAAAUUUGAAGGAUUUAAAUAAUAAUUUUACUCUUUUUUAGAAAACCAAAGUCACCGUGGUCAACCACUUAUCUAGAUCUUGUUACUCAUGGGUAGGAUUAUUUAUCCAGACUCGAAAGCCCAUCCGAAAUUUGAAUGGAUUUGGGCAAAAAUAUUUGGCUUAAAAAAUAGGUUCGGACAAAUAAAUUAGACUUGUUUAAACUAUGGGCCGAGUUCAGGCUUGAACAUUCAAGGCCCGAGCCUAGUCUAACCCGUUUUAAGUUUAUAAUACUUUAUAUUAUGUUAUUUUUAUAUAUUAUGUGAUUUAUAACACAUUAAAAAAAUAAAACUAUACUAAAUAUAUAAUACUACUAUAAUGUAAACAUUAAAAUAAUAUUAAGAUAACUAUAUAAAAAAUUUCAAUAAAUAAAAAAAUAUAGAUGGACUUAAAACGAGCUUGGGUUAGUUUUUUACAAAUAUAGACGGAUUUAAACAAAAUUUUAGGCCCACAUUUCGGAUUAGACAAAACUUGAAUAAACAAAGUAUGUUAAUAUUAUAUUUAGACCCGACUCGACCCAACGACCCCUCUACUCUCAUCUACCUGUCGCUUCCAACACAAAAUUUCUAUCCAUUGCACAAGUAAAAAAUUAUAAGACCGAUGAAUAAAUAAAUAAAAAUGGUGUGGAUGGAGUAGAUUGAAUUAAAAAUAUAAAAUGAUUCUUGAUAAAAAAGAAAUUUACGACUGGAAUAUUGAUAGGAUGACAGGUUCCACUAAACAUAAAAGUGACAAUGAUAAGGCUUACCUUUCUGUACGUUUAAUCUUAGAAGCGAGAUUGUGUGGAGUCUAUUAAGCCAGCC